This is a non-coding RNA of Mugil cephalus (flathead mullet), 797 nucleotides long. The record is from the annotation of a RefSeq genome assembly. NCBI's taxonomy places the organism in Eukaryota, Metazoa, Chordata, Actinopteri, Mugiliformes, Mugilidae.
AAAACAUGACUUUGAUCUGCGUCCUCAUCUGGACUCUCCUCUGCUGCUGCUUCACAGAGUCCAGAGGCCAGUACACACUGACUCAGCCUGGAGUAGUGAGCUCUGCUCUGGGAGGAUCAGUCACCAUCACAUGUAGGACCAGUCAGAAUGUUUAUUACAGCAGCUACCACUAUUUAUCCUGGUACCAACAGAGAGAUGGAGGAGUUCCUAAACUCCUUUUUUACUAUGUUGGUAAUCGAGUAUCAGGGACACCAAAUCGUUUUACAGACGGUGGAUCAAACUCUGACUUCACUCUGACCAUCAGUGGAGUCCAGACUGAAGAUGCAGCAGUUUAUUACUGUCAGAGUCUUCACAUUCCCAACAGUCAGUGGGUGUUCACACAGUGAAAAACCGUCGUACAAAAACCUCCCUCAGUCAGACUGAACAGAAACUGAAGUGACUGCUGCAGCUGGAAGCUACUGUACAGACUGAUACAGUUCACUGAACACACAAACCAGACGUUGGUUAUAAGGUACAUACAGAUCAUACACUGCAUUUGUUGAGACAAAAUGAAUGCAAGUUUCAACAGAAGUGAUUUUAAAAUAUCUCCUAGACAUAGAUGAACUGUUCAUUCAAUGAACACUUUUCUCAAAUUUGAUUGUUUCCAUUUUAAAAUCCAUCAACAUCUCAGGCAUCAUCCCCAACAUCAUAAAAUCAACUUGUUUUAUUAUAUUUUACAAAACCUUCAUCUUCCCAUCAGUCACUUAUUAAUCAGAUCCAAAGUCAAAGCAGGUUUUCUGCUUCUCUUUCCUAUUUUA